This 383-nucleotide ribosomal RNA is filed under the name uncultured bacterium. RNAcentral's name for it is "bacterial SSU rRNA". It matches the Rfam family "Bacterial small subunit ribosomal RNA", at positions 28 to 440 of the family's 1533-position model. The record is from RNAcentral.
GACGAACGCUGGCGGCAGGCUUAACACAUGCAAGUCGAACGCACCGCAAGGUGAGUGGCAGACGGGUGAGUAACGCGUGGGAACGUACACUUCGGUUCGGAAUAGCGUCCGGGAAACUGGAAUUAAUACCGGAUACGCCCUUAGGGGGAAAGAUUCAUCGCCGAAGGAUCGGCCCGCGUCAGAUUAGGUAGUUGGUAGGGUAACGGCCUACCAAGCCGAUGAUCUGUAGGUGGUCUGAGAGGANGAUCACCCACACUGGGACUGAGACACGGCCCAGACUCCUACGGGAGGCAGCAGUGGGGAAUAUUGGACAAUGGGCGCAAGCCUGAUCCAGCCAUGCCGCGUGGAUGAAGAAGGCCCUAGGGUUGUAAAGUCCUUUCGGC